CGGUUUCUCUCGGGUCAACUCGCUCUGAGUUUUCAGCUGAUCCCUUCGCCACACUAUCACAGCUCCCGUUGCACGAAGCUUCUCCCCCAGGCUUCACGCUCUGCACCUCUUUCCCCGUUUCACCUCCAUCCGGUUCGACAGGUUCCGGUUCAACUUUCGCUUCGUCUGGUCCGGUUCCCGGGGAUUCCUCUUUCGGAUCUGUAGAGUUCGACUCGUUUACCGAAUGGUUCUCCCGCUCGGACUCUUCCCUGCCAUUAACGGGCCGUCGGGUAAUGUUCUCCGUUUCGUUUUCUUCCUUUUUUUCACUUCCCUUUUCUCGCUCCAGAUCCGAUUUUUCAGUUUCCUUUCCGUUCUCUGUCAAGCUCUGUUCUCUCUCUUCUUUUAAUUUCUGCACCUUCAUUUGUAAGGACCUGUAAAGUAACAGAAAAAUGUUAUCGAUUUUUGCCCCCCACCCCAAAAGAAGUAAUUUAAUAUUUUUAUAAAAAAUGAUUUAGUAAUAAUUUACACGAUGGAGAGAUCAUAUUGUUGAACUUCGCGGCGUAGUUCGGCGACGCGGAGUCUCCGGAGCUCAUCAAGCCAAGGAACGGUGCUGGUGGAGAUGUUGUUAUUAGUAGUUUCGCCGUCGUCGCCGUUUUCAGCGAAACGGCGUUUAAGGUCUUGAAACUUCUGUUGACAAGAAAGGGGAGUAAAGAAGAGAUGUUGGAACGUAGAAGUUCGCUUCUGUAGUUCCAUAGCAACGGAGUCCCAACUGUUGUUACCGUAACGAUGAACGGCGCAGGCGAGUAAAAGCUCCUCCCAGGUACCCCAUGUUUGUUUCUCGGGAAAGCUGUGGUGUUUAGCCAUGAAAUAAAUGAAAAGAAGAGAAGGAAAAGAUAUUAAUAGUACCGGUCACGGUUCAAUAAUAAGUCUCUUUUUGCGAAUAAGUAAGUACCUUUUUAUUCAAAUAAAUUUUUCUAUUUAUGAUUCGUUUGUACGGUAGAAUUUUUAAGGGAAUAGCUAGGCUGCUUCAAUUUCAUUUCCAUUGUAGGUUAAAAUCAUCUUCAAAUAUCUUCCUCGUAUAUUUUUAUAAUUUAAAUCUAAAUGAAUGGAGUUGGAGCAUAUUUGUUAUUAUUUAUUAUUUUGAAGUAGGAGGGGUGGCAUGAAUUUAGAAGGUAAUCAGGAAAUUGAAAGAAUGGGAAAGGGAGCCCUAGGAUGCCGAACCAGAAGGAACAGGCCUAAGGUUAUUGGGCUGAUUGAUGGAGGGUGAGGCGGACCAAGUUAGCAACAUUUAGUAGCGGGCUGAUUCCUACAGCAAGCCCAAGGGACUGAUUUAAUGACUGGAUUGCUGAUGACUCAUUUUCCUCUCAUGCUAGCUGUUAAAAAAGUGAAGUAUGUUACAACAGAAUUUCUAUUAUAUUCUCAAGGCAUGGAAUGAAAUCAGUAGUUUCCCUUUCUCUCAAUCUCCUUCUACUUCUUUCUUUUUCUUUUCUUAAUAUUUAUUAUUUAUAUUUAUAAUUGAAUAACUUUUAUAUUUUUUAUUAAAUUUCUUAACUUAAUAUUCAUAUUAUAAAUUAUUUAUUUCAAAACUCUAAAAUAUUAUAUUAAGCCUAAAGCAACUAAUACCCAAAAUAGACUAUAUAGUCUAAAAUAAAAAUAAGUUAAAUCAAUACUAAAGACAAGUUGUAAAAGUUAAAAUCCAAUUCAAAAUUUAAUUUAAUAAAAAUAAUAUUUUACUAAUGUAUUAAUUUUUUAAUAGUAUUUUAUGUACUUUAUUAUAAUCUUAAUAUAAUAAUAUUUUUUUUAACAAUCUUUUCUAUAAGUUUUGGUCAUAUCUGCUCUUCUUGAUACAAUGCCUAGAACUACUUAUAGUCCUCCCCAACCCAUAAAUAGGAAGAUAAUACGCUUCAACACACUCGAACCCAUGUCCUCUUACAUUCGCAACCCAAAUAGAACUUACAUGCAAACGACCGAACUUUUAAAGCGUUCAAACAUGGCUUCCAAACUUCUCUUUUCAAUGUUUCGGUGAAAAGAUGAAAGUGACGAAGAAUAUCACUUUGUUUUUGUUGUAUUAUUCUUUAAUCAUUUACAUUAAUUAAAUUAUAACAUAUAUUAUAAUAUAAACAAAUGACUAACAUGCCAUUAACAUAAUUAUGGCUAAAUUUCCAUAUAAAACCAUCCAAUUAUACUUUUAUACUUAAUUAGCACUUAUAAACUAAUAAUAUUUGACUUUUGUAGUUUUUACGAUUUAAUCUUUUUUCCUUAAUUAACAAUCAAUUCAUCAAAAAAUUUGGACCAAACUUCAAUUCACCUAUAUAACAUCUCUAUAAGUAUUUAAUAAAAAUAUUCACGGGAUCAAUAUAUAGAAACGAGGUCUCGAUCCUCAUUUUCAAAAACUAUUUAACUUUUGGUAUGCACCACUUAUAUCUUGAUUAACUGACCAAUUAUUAAAGUAUAUUAAAUCAAGAUUCACUGUUGUACUAUAUUUAACUCAUAAAUAUUAAUUAAAUAUAUCUACAAUCUCUCUCAUCAAAAUUAUUGUUUUCGAUACCACUGAAAAACGGGCUAUUACAAUCCUCCUAUUUAUGAGUCGGGGAAGGGCUAUAGGCAGUUCUAGGUAUUAUGUAAAAAAAAAAAGAGCGGAUGUGAUCAAAUCUUAUAAUGAUAUUGUUCAAAAAAAAUAUUAAAUAUUAUUGUUUAUUAUUAUCUUGGUUGAUUUAUACUUUAAGUCUCUAUACUCUUCGUACAUUUGAAAAUUAGCACUUCUACUAUAUUAUAUACUGCUAUCUUAUAUCAUAGAAUAUAUAAUACAUUAAAAGUUUAUAUAUAUGCAUUAAUGAAUAAACAUUUGUUACCAAAAAAAGAAAUAAACAUUAUAAUAUUAUGUAAUACUAUCUUUUAUUAUAAUUUAUAACAUAAUAAUAGUUAUAUAUGUGUAUUGAUAGUUUUAGUCAUAGUUAUACACUAUAUUAUUAUAUUAUGUAAUAGUAUAUCAUUUAUUAUAGUUAGCGGUUAAAACCAACCUAACUGACAAAAUUGAGUCAAUUCAAGCGAAUCAGUUUGUAAAUUCAGUUUUCAUUUUGGACCAAUUAACAGUUAUAUAUGCAUUAAUAAUUUUAAAAUAUAUUAUUAUAUUAUGUAAUACUAUAUCCCAUAUUGUAAUAGUAAUACAUAAUAUACUAAUUAUUAAAUCCUAUUUAUUAUAUUGGUUGAAAUAUGUUCUAAGUAUUUAUACUUUUCAUACAUUUGAAAGUUAACCUUCCUAAUAUACAAUACUAUUGCAUAGCAUAUAAUAUAUAAUAUAUUAAUAGUUUAUAUAUAUGCAUUAAUGAUUAAAACAUUAUAAUAUUAUGGGUAACUGAGCCAUAAACUAUAUCUUAGAUUGCAUUUUAGCCCCUCUACUGAAAAUUUGGGCAAAUUAGCCCUAGUACAUAGGGGUGUGCAAAUUUCGGGUAAAAUUGAAUUAAUUCAGGUAAAAUUGAAUUAAUUCGGGUAACAGACCAAAUUCAGUUAAUCGGUCGGUUAACCAAAUUAAUUCAGUCGGGGUCGGUUAAUAAUUUUUUAGAAGUUCAGUUAACGGUUAAUUAGGUUCGAAAUCGGUUAAUUAAUCGAAUUAACCGAAAAUUUAUAUUUUUUAUAUACAUUUUACAUAUAUUAAAUUCGGCUAAUUUGGUUAAUUCAGUUAUUUUUUAUAUGUUUUAUAUUUGUUUUAACAAAAAAACAAAAAACAUAUAAAUUUCGGUUAAUUCGGUUAACCGACCGAAUUAACCAAAAAAAUUUGGGUUGGUUAACCGAUUGAACACCCCUGCUAGUACAUUAGAUGAGUAAAAGCAAAACAUCCCAUUUGUUAAAAUUUAGUGUUUAUAUAUAAGGUAUAAUAACAAGUUUAGCCCUUAAUCUUUACACAUUUAUUCAAUUUGACCCCUAAUAUUUUAUUGGAAGUAAAUUAGAAUUUUUUUGAACUAAUAAGGCUAAUAGGUCAAAGAACCCUUAUUAACAAAUUCAAAAAAAAUCAAUUAAGCCUUUUAAAUUUUAAUAAUUAUUUAAAAAAUCAUAAAAAUAACUGUAAAAAAAUUUAUAAAAAGGUUAUAAAUUUUUUUAUUAAAAAUAACAAUACCAGCCCAUUAAAAUUUAAUGGUUAUAAGAAUUAAAAAAAUUUUGACCCCUACUCUUAUUUGGUUGGUAUUGCUAUUUUUUAAUAAAAUAUUAUAAUUUUUAAGAGAAGGGUAAGAAUUUGAGUAAUUAUAUAAGUAAUUACACUCGAUUUUUUUGUACACGUUUAAGUUAUAAAUUUUUAUAUUAUAAGCAUGAACAUAGAUGAGUGUUUGGGAUGAUUAUGGUAAAAAAUUAUAUUAUAAAAAUAAUUUAUGUGUAUUUUAUAAAGUUAUAACCAAAAAUUAUAUUAUGUUAAGUCCUAAUCUUUUUUAAGUUGUGGCCAAAAAAAUUAUUAUAAAAAAUAAUUUAAGCUAUAAUAUAUUUAUUUAUAAAAAGUUAUGGCCAAGAAGUAUGGAUAUAACUUAUUUAUGUGUUCAUGCUAUAUAUUAUAAAAAUAGUAUGCUUAUAAGAAAAAAAAGUGUUUAUUUUUUAACACAAUUUAUUCAUAAAAAAUAAUUUUCUAAAGUUAUGAUAAAAAAAACUAUAUGAUUUAUGAAAGUUAUUAGAAAUUUUAUAAAACAUUUUUUAAAAGGUUAUAUAUUAUAAUUUUAUAUUAUUUUUUACUUAAUUUACAUAUUAUUAGAAGGAUUAUAACUUAGCAUAAUUCUUUCUCUAAAUUAAGUUUAUAUAAGUUUUUAUCGAAACAAAAGAGCUAGAAGAAACAUACUACCAGUCAAAUCUAUUUUGAUAGUUUAUCUUGAGUGAGGCAAACUUGUGAACUAGUUUUAACAAAUGGUAAACAUAGAAAAACUAUGUUAAAAGAAAUGGAGAAUGAAGGAAAAUAAAGCGAGAAGCAGAAUAGAAUGAAAAAUAAAGGGAAAAAAGGAAAGUAAAAAGAACAUAAAAGAAAUAAAAUUAAAUUGCUUAAAACGAAAAAAUAUGAAAUCGAUUGUAUAAAUUAACCUAAAAUUUUUGUUUGAAAUGAUGAUUUAACAUACCAUGUCAACUUACUGUUACACGGAAAUUAAUGGCUCAGUGACUAAAAUAUUACAAUGCGAUAAUGUAAGUGACUAAAACGUAACAUUUCAAAUAUAAGUGACUAAAAAUGUAAACUGGGGUAAACAGAAGUGACUACUUUAGUAGUUUACCCUUAUUUUAAUUAAGUUUGCCAGUGGUUUUGUUUCAUCGCUUCUUACAACAAAUAGUUUUCUCCUAACAAAAAAAGAACAUAGUUUUCUCGGUACAUUUUAUUGAGAACAAUAUUGAUCUCCUAACUAUUACAGAUUUCUCCUGACAGUAUCAGAUGAGAUGGCGAGGACCCAAGCAUCUCUUACCGAAGGGGCCUUGGUUUCCAUGCAGCUAAGAAAUCCUUUAGUCGUGGUGAUCCUGCUCCAAUACUAGGAAGAGGCCGAGGUUCAAUGAAGGGCCAAUCAAGAAAAGAACUUUUUCCUUCACAGAAUGGAACCGAAAAGAAACUUCCGAAUGAGAUUGAAUUACUUUACACAAAGAUGCUAGUAAAUAAGAAAUCCUUUAGUCGUGGUGAUCCUGCUCCAAUACUAGGAAGAGGCCGAGGUUCAAUGUGAUAGAAUAUAAUGACCGUUAGUCUGUUAGGUAGUUAGUAGUUAUUCUGUUAAAGAAGCUAACAGCUUAACAGCUACUGCUAUAAAUACUGUAUCAAGUCUAUUCUAAAAAAUGACAAAAAAAAUAAAUGUAUAUGCUUUGUUUAAUCUACAAGCUAUACUUUAACAUGGUAUCAGAGGUUUCUUUUUUCCUGGCCUUCGUGGGUUAAGUUUGUUUUUCUGUUGUUUCUGUUGCAUGGACCUGUCGUCGAGUCCUUCUGUCGUUCAUUCUGCUGCUCCGCAGAUGGCGUCCACUCUUGCGAACAGUGUUCUUGAUAGCAAGUUUUUCUCUACCAAGAAAGUGAGUAUCCUCCUUGAUGAUUCCAACUAUCUCUUGUGGAAGCAACAAGUGCUGUUAGCAGUUAAAACUCACAAACUGCAGCAGUUUCUUGAUAUCAACACAAAGUCGCCUCCUUCGAUGGUUACAGAUGAUGAAGGAGUACUGCAAGAAAAUCUCGAAUUUGUGAAGUUCGAGCAACAAGAUAGUGCACUUGCCUCAUGGCUUCUGACUUCGGUAAGUCCUGACGUUCUUCCUCAUCUUAUUAGACUCGAUACUAGUUCUCAGAUUUGGAACUCUAUUGUCAAUCUGUAUGGUAGCAAAACUACCUCUCGACUGAUGUUUUAUCGUCGAGCACUUCACUCUCAACGAAAAGGAGAUAUGCCUAUGAAAGAGUUUCUUUUGAAAAUAAAGUCCUAUUAUGACAAUUUAGCCAGCUGUGGAGAGGCCAUUAGUGCCCAUGAACAUAUCACAGCCAUCCUCAAUGGGCUGUCGUUUGAGUAUGAACCUAUUGUGUCUAUCAUUCUUGCUGGUCAACAUGCCUACACAGUGCAGAGUGUCAUGACAAUGCUGCUAGAUGCAGAAGCAAGGCAACAAACUAUAUUGACCGACACUCCCAGCUCUGCCAAUUUGGUGUCUCAACAGCCUGCACAGACCAACACUGAUACGUCUGUGCCAUCAUAUUGUGGGUCCAACACUAGGGGUCGUGGACGUGGACGAUCAUCUGGAGCUCGCGUGCAAUGCCAGCUAUGUGGAAAAACUGGACAUUUGGUUGAUCGAUGUUAUCGUCGAUUUGAUGCCUCUUACAAAAGCACCAACUACAGGCCCCCUCCACAAACUAAUGUCUGCAUGCUUACACCUAGUGCUUCUUCAUGGACACUAUGUUCACUGCCAUCUAUGGUUCAGACUGUUUCCAACUGGCCUCCCCAGUCACAAUCUUCGACGACCUGGGCUAACCCAUUCAUGAAUCUUCCCAAUCAACAUGUCGUUCCACCACCAUCAGAAGUUUCUCCUCCACAAGCACUAAUAGCCUCGCCUGACACUGUAGGGGAUCCUGCUUGGUAUCCUGACUCCGGAGCCACACAUCAUCUUACUCACACAGUAACAUCAGCUGGUGAAAAUCUGUCGCACAACGGACCAGGUAUGGUGUAUGUUGGAAAUGGUAGCACUCUUCCUGUUGUUUGCUCUGGUUAGUCUUCUUUACUCACUAAGGCUCGACCACUUCAUUUGAAGUCCAUUUUAUAUACUCCAGGUGUUACUAAAAAUUUGCUGUCUGUGUCUAAGUUCACCAGAGACAACCAGGUGAUGUUUGAGUUCCUACCAUCACAGUGUCAGGUACGUGAUCUCAAGACCAGGGAAGUGCUUCUUCGAGGAUCAGUCCAACAUGGUUUCUACAAGCUCCAGUUGAAUUCUGUCACCCGCAAGCCUCCACCAGUGCAUCCCGCCCACUGUUUUACAGCUAGAAGCACUACCCCUCUUAAUGUGUGGCAUUCUAGACUAGGGCAUCCUUGUAAAAAUGUGUUGCUCAAAGUUUUACAGAGUUAUAAUCUGUCAUUUGAUGUGAAUAAAGAAGAAGUUGCCUGUGUUGCCUGUCAUCUUGGCAAGGAGCACAAACAAUCGUUCUCUACGUCGACAUCUCAGUAUUCUGUGCCAUUGCAGUUAGUUGUUGCCGAUGUUUGGAGGCCAGCCCCAGUUCUCUCAAAUGGCUUCCGAUAUUACGUGAUGUUUACUGAUGCAUGCACCCGGUAUUCAUGGGUUUAUUUCCUGCACAAAAAGUCUGAGGUUUUGUCUGUGUUAUCUCAAUUCCACAAACAAGUUGAGCGCACUCUUGGAGUUCAACUAAAAAUGCUGCAAACGGAUGGCGGGGGUGAAUUUCAGUGUCUAAGGUCGUAUCUUAUUCAGCAUGGAAUCGCUCAUAGGUUUACCUGCCCGUAUACCUCAGCUCAAAAUGGUAUUGUUGAACGCAAACAUCGGCAAGUGGUUGAAACUGGUCUCGCCAUGCUUGCCCAUGCAUCUAUGCCUCUGACUUACUGGAGUGAUGCAUUUAGCUGUGCCAUUUAUCUUAUUAAUAGACUCCCCUCUGCCCCUCUAAACUUUGUCUCACCACAUGAAAAACUUCAUCACACCAAGCCUAAUUACAGUUCCCUUAAGAUUUUUGGGUGUCUAUGUUUCCCUAACCUAAGACCAUACAAUGCUCACAAACUACAAUUCCGUUCCACCCCCUGUACCUUUAUCGGUUACUCAUUCACUCACAAAGGAUAUCGGUGCCAAGAUAGCACUGGGAGGAUAUAUAUCACCCGACAUGUCACCUUUCAUGAAAGUCAAUUUCCCUUUAAGACUGUCCAUACAAACACUACCUCAUGCAACAAACCAGUGUCAACCAGCUCCAAACUUCUAAUUCUAAGAUCCAACCCUUACCAAUCAGCUCUCUCUCCGUCACUUGCUAGGUCCACAUUACCUACUCUCACACCUUCCCCUAUGUCAACCAAUUCUUUACCUGCCCAGUCCACAAUACAACCCCCUUCUCCUACACCUUCCCAUAAUUCCCCAGAGUCAAACAUUCCAACAAGUUCUCCACAUUUGUACCCUGUACCACAAAACACCCAUCCAAUGCUUACUCGCAGCAAAGAUGGCAUAUUCAAACCCAAGGCUUAUCUAACCAGUGUAGGUGAAAGUGACGCUUCUGCAAUUCCCACUAGCAUCCAUGAAGCCAUGGCACACUCUUACUGGCGUGAUGCAGUUCAAGCCGAGCUGGAAGCUCUAGCUCGCAACAACACCUGGAGUCUCUGUCCGUUACCGCUACAUCGUCGCACAGUUGGAUGUAAGUGGUUAUUUAAAAUAAAAAAGAAGGCUAAUGGCACCGUUGAUCGGUAUACGGCUCGUCUGGUUGCCAAAGGUUACUCUCAGCAUGCAGGGACAGACUUUCGAGACACAUUCAGCCCAGUCAUUCGAGCAGUAACCAUCAGAACGGUUCUUGCUGUAGCCACCAUGAAGAGAUGGCCUCUUCGGCAGAUAGACGUAAACAACGCAUUCCUGAAUGGAGAACUAUCUGAGGAGAUAUUCAUGGAUCAGCCGCCGGGUUUUGAAGUUUCAGGUCCUAAUGAUCAGCGACUGGUAUGCAAGCUAAAUAAAGCUCUAUAUGGGCUGCGUCAGGCUCCAAGGGCCUGGUUUCAUACUCUCAGGCAGUUCUUGGUCAGCAAGCUGGGUUUCCGUGCGUCCAAAGCUGAUCCAUCGUUGUUCAUACGUAACACUGAAAAUAGCCAACUUCUUCACAUGGCCUAUGUUGAUGACAUUGUCAUCACAGGCAAUUCAAAUGAAGCAAUUGAUAAUGUCGUCCAUCAACUACACGAUCAAUUUGCGCUCAAAGACUUGGGUUGCCUUAAUUUCUUUCUUGGUAUUGAGGUACAGUACACUAAUUGCGGGUUGUUCCUCAAUCAGAAGAAAUAUGUACAAGAGAUUCUAUCAAAAACGGGUAUGACAGGUGCAGUUGCCACUCCAACACCUAUGGUUAGUCUUCCUAAACUUACUGCCGCUUCCCCCGAUCAAAAACCUGUUGACGGGCAACUCUAUCGUAGCACUAUUGGUAUGCUUCAAUACCUUUGUGUUACACGACCGGAUUUGUCGUUUUGUGUUAACAAACUCAGCCAGUAUAUGAACUCCCCUAAUGAGUCUCACUGGAAGGUUGUUAAACGAGUUCUUCGCUAUCUGGUGGGCACUUUAGAGCAUGGACUGGUCUUUACACAUGGGCAGUUUCAGUUGGUAUGCUACUCCGAUGCUGACUGGGCGUCUUCUGUUGAAGACAGGCGUUCAACUACAGGCUACGUGGUGUAUUUAGGGUCUAACCUCAUUGCCUGGUGCUCAAAGAAGCAGGCAGUGGUUUCGCGGUCAUCCUCUGAAGCUGAAUAUCGCAGCUUGGCCAAUUGUGUUUCUGAGUUGGUAUGGGUGCAGCAACUGUUGCAGGAAGUAGGGGUGUCACUGGAACAAACCCCAGUGAUCUGGUGUGAUAACACCUCCACUGUGUCUAUGGCCGCAAAUUCGACUCAUCAUGCAAGAGUCAAACACGUGGAGAUAGAUCAGCACUUUGUUCGCGAGAAGGUGCUUGAAGGUCAGCUUCAAGUCAACUAUGUACCCUCGGUAAAUCAAAUCGCCGAUGUACUUACUAAACCUGUUCCUCUCAAGUUUUUUGCUGGUUUCCGACAGGCUCUUCAAGUCUCAACACGAAGCUCAGCUUUCAAAGAUGUUCACAACCAGGAGAAUGAUAGAAUAUAAUGACCGUUAGUCUGUUAGGCAGUUAGUAGUUAUUCUGUUAAAGAAGCUAACAGCUUAACAGCUACUGCUAUAAAUACUGUAUCAAGUCUAUUCUAAAAAAUGACAAAAAAAAUAGAUGUAUAUGCUUUGUUUAAUCUACAAGCUAUACUUUAACACAAUGAAGGGCCAAUCAAGAAAAGAACUUUUGCCUUCACAGAAUGGAACCGAAAAGAAACUUCCGAAUGAGAUUGAAUUACUUAACACAAAGAUGCUAGUAAAUGAGAUAUUUAUGGAGAGCCAGCUAAACUGAAACUGCCAAAAUGAGAUAAUUUACUCUAUAAGAUGUUAGCUAAUUUUAUUUUGCUCGCUUCAACAGGUGAAAAGGGCUUUUGAUACAAGUCAUCCUGAUCUUGUUGAGCUUGAGAAAGCAAAGAAGAAGCUGAAAGUAAGAAUAUGAUUCACAUAGCCUGAAUACAUUCUUUUUAUUGCUUAGUUGUUAUGACCACAGGCUUGAGGUCGAGUUAUGGGGAGAUUUAACAGAAAAAUCAGAUCCGACAGAAGGGUCUUUGCCCGUAUUUCGAUUCCUGGUUUUGCCUAUGGUGAUGGAACUCUAAGGGAGUAGCCUACCCUAGAACUCUAUGAAAGUUGCCUACCUUAAUUUACUGCAAAUUGAACUUGUUUUAUUACUCGGUAAAUUUCCCCUUAAAUAGAGGUUUACAAUAAGAGCAACCCUAAUAUCCUAUCAUACUAGGAAAGUUUUAUUUAAGCUAAAAUGAAAGUUUAGGAAAUAAAAUGAAAUCAGGAUCCCAAACCUCCUUCUUAGUUAUCUCUUUUAUUCUAAUGAUUCUUUCCUUUUGUAACAUCAGUACUGCAAGUUUAACCAUUAUAUCUAAUGCAGGACAGGAACAAGCACUCAUCAAUGCUAUUGUAAGGCUUGCUGAUGCAUCUGAUGGUGAAAGUGGUAAUCAAUAUGUGUAUACAUAGUGAUCUUUUACGUGAUCUUUUCUGUAAAAUACACAUAGUCCAUCGAUGAAUCUUAUUAUUGCAUUUUGUUUUCUUUUGUUCUUUUCCUCCAUUUGAUUUGGGAGGAAAAGCUAGCUGCAAGUUCUUGUUCAACAUGUAUUUAUUUAGUAUUUUGCUAUUAAUCAUGUAAGUGUUUCAGGCUACCGACCAAAUCAUCACAUUCACAAAUGCCGAAUUAUCAUUCUUAACAUAUCGACAUUCAUUCAUACUUUAUUACAAGUAUAUGCACCUAUUCAUCUACUUGGCAAGCAAGAAAUAACUCAUUUAUAAGCAUAAAAUUGUCGAAUGGGCAAGCAACCCAUUAAUUCACUAAACUACUACAUAUACAUACCUCCAACAUAUAUGGUAUCAUAUUCAAAAUGUAAGCAUUUCUUAAGACCAAAACUUCAAAACCAACCCUAAGAUCAACUCAAGAGAUUAGAUAUUUAUCAUUUGUUAUAAACGCAACAGAAACUAUACAAGCUUGCUGAAUCGAGAGUUGAAUUUUAGAUAUUGCCGAUCACCUUAAGACUUCAAGAUCUAUAUUAUUUGCACACAAAAAUAAACAAAUUAUACGCUGAGUAAUAGGGCUCAGUGAUACAAACAUGAUUUAAAUCAAUAAUAAAAUAGAAACAAGGUACCAAAAACACAUAAUAUGAUACACAAAUACUAUCUACAUCAUAGUUGUAUUACUAGUCUCAUAAACUAAACAUCACAAUUUGUGCUACUCAACACGUGAUAUAUCAACAUUUAGUCCUUAUACCAUACAUUUCAAUUACAUGAAUAAUAUAGCAUAACACAAGGGUCAUUGUACUUUUUCAUUUCAUUCUCAAAUCCAUUGAUUUGUUAUACAAAUGAACCGGCUCUCAGGCUCGUGAUAACUAGAUCAUAUGACAUUUCACAUUCCAUUAUUUAUUGUUUAAACAUCAAGAUACAAUUAUACAAUUCAAUAUCCAAUAUCAAUAGCAAAAUAUAUGUUUUCAUAAUCCCUGAUAAUCACACACAGACUCAAGAUGGAAACACGAAUCAUCUAACCAUCACACUAAUAUAUCCGGCACCCAGUGCCUCAUCGAUACAUCUAAAGUAUAAUAUGCAUGUUGAAAAAAUCCGGUUUGAAAACAGUUUUUUCGGACAACAAAAAAAUAAAAAUUUUAAAAAUCGAGUUGGUUUGUAAUAUUCAUAGCAAUAAACUUUUUCUUGAAAUAAUACCCAUGCUUUGAGCGAGACGGAUAUUAAAUGUUCCUGAUUUUCAACCGAACAGUCUUCCCCACUAUUCUCAUAUCACGAAUCGUUUCGAGUGUGGGCUCGAAUACUUACGAAUCAAACACAGAAUCAUAAUUUUUUUUUUUUACUUUCAGUAUGAAAGUAAAUCUUUUUCUCUUAUACAAACCGAUAGAAUUGUUAUUCCUAAAAAAUAAAAUUUAUAUUUAUAAAUAAAUUCUCACUAAUUUUGAAUAGAAUAACAAUAUCUCAAAUUUUUUUUGUUUUAUAUUAGAUUAAUGAGUACACAUCUCAUCCCAAAUUAUAAGGAUUAGUCUAAUAUUGAAAUUGAAAAGUGUUUAAUACCACAAAUUAUUAUUUAAUAUGUUUAGAUAUUAUUAAUAUCACAACUGUAUUAUUAUUUCUUUUUAUAGUAUCGUAUUUUGGUUAUAUAGACAAUAGGUGCCGAUUUUAUUAAAUUGACCAAAUAGGCUACUUUUUUUCAUGAUGUAAAAAAAAUGCCGAUUUUAAAGAGUGUGUGAAAAUGCGUCCAACUAGACAAACAUUCUACACAUUUAGCAGAAAAAUUUGUCCAACUGAGUGAGCUUUCUAUUGACAUGUUAGGAAAAGCACGCCCAAUUGGACACAUUUUCUUUAAAAUUUUUAAAAAAUGCUUCUAAUUAGAUACGAUUUUCUAACAUGACAAUUAAAAGCUCUCACUCUCUCUAAAAGCGACCUAUUUUCCUAAAUCUUAAAAAAAAAAAAACUUAUUUAACCAAUUAAAAAAAAAUUUGAGAUAUUUAACCUAUUUAGCCUCAUAUUUUGUAUUCUUUUCAAUGUCGUGGUUUUGCAUAACUUUUUCUAUAAUCAGAUGACAUUCUCCACCCUGCCGCAAAACAAAUAUAAAUUCAUUGAAUAAAACAUAAUUUAACCGCCUAUGAUGCUGAAAAAAUAUCUUACAACAAUACUAAAAAUGGAGUACUCAAACUGUCCUUCAUUUUCUUGAACGCUUCUUUGCCUGUCCACCACCUGAAUGGUUCUCAACAGCUUCCCUUCCCCGCUUACCAGGAGGAGCUGAUUGGGUGGCAGGCACUCUUUUAGGCGGUCUUCCUGUACUCCUCUUUGCCGGACUCGUUCUUUUUCCGCCAGAACGUGUCCGUGGAGUCGGAGUUCGAUCCUUCUGUUGGUCACCUUUGCUGCUAGUGCUGUUUUUCUUAUGCUCACCUGCAUCUCCUCCUCCUUUACCCUUAUCAGAACUAAUCACACCCUUCAGUGUCUCUGUCAAUGGCUCAUUACCGGAUAAAGAGCUCCUCAUUCUAUUCAAGAAAUUCGCUGCACUUGGCUUUUUUGAACUAGCAGUUUUGCUGUUGCUCUUCUCCUUCUCACCACCCUUGGAUUCCGAGUUAUCAUUUGAGGAUCCACCUUUGCUUGAAAUGGCAGCAUUGGCAUUGGUACCUGAAUUCUUGUUUGUGUUUGUGUUACUCCGAGCCUUUGCAUUUUUGCUUGCUUUUCUUGAACCCGAGGCCGAACUUUCUCUUGUUCUCUUCUUUGCUACAGGACUUUCCUCAAUGGAUUUAUCAUGCUGCUUCCAACCUAGAGCUGGUUUCUCGUUCAUCAAUGAAGCUAGCAGCUGCCUUUUUUUCUCUUGCCCUGAAGAUGAUGUUGACGAUUUGGCAGCAAUCGAGCUGCGUUUGCGACAAGCAAUCAAUGGGACUGAUAGUUUAGGUUUCAUUGACAAGGAGAGUGACAGUUGAGGUUCUGGUUUCAAAGGCAUCUCGGAUUCAAGCACCCUAUUUGGUGAUUGUUCUUUGGGCAAUACACUUGAAUUGCGAAACUGGGCAUCGAUCUCCUUUGAGACAAGUUGUCGAAACUCAAUAGCUGCAGCGUAUUCUGAGGAUUCCUUGCCAAAGAAAAUGAUGGCAUUGGUUAAAAGCAACAGCAAGUCUCUAAAGAACUUGCUUUUACAUCCUGAAUACCAGCCUUCUUCAACCCUCAAGCCAAUAGUCUCUAAGUCAAGAUGUUGCCGGAUCAAGUUUGAGUAAUCCGGUGUUUUCUGCAAUAUUGAAAUUUAACCAUAAAUCACCAUCUUAGCACCUAAUUGUGUUCUUCAGUUGCCUAGCAUUAAAAUUAAUUUUAUAGAAAUUGCAACUAACGGGAGCACAUAGGCUAAAGACAGCAGUUUAAUUCCACAGCACACUCAAGCUUUUGUUUUUAUUUGAAGACCAUUAUGAGUAACAACUAAAGAUUUUGGUUCAUGCAACUACUUCGUAAAAAAGGACAUCCUUCAAACAUCCAACAAUUACCGGAUUUACAAAAAGAAAAUUUCUUAUUUAUAAUUGCCACCUAAAAAUCAAAACCAAAACCAAAACAAAAGACAUGUAUCUAACUCAUACCUUUCCCCAAUCAACUAAAUAAAAACUAAACCUAAGUGGCAUACAUAGGUUGGAGUAGGGCGAAGUCAGAAAUUUUUUCUAAGAGAAUCGGAAUAAAGUUAUAUAUUUUUAUGAGAGAUAAAAUAUAAUUCCACUAUUUUAUUAGCUUAUAUCUUUAUAUUUAUAAUUUUUCAAGAACUAAAUUAAAAUUUUAUUUUUUGGAGGGUUAAAAGUGCAAAUUUACUAUAUACAGACUUAUAGUUUUAUAAAUUUUAAAUAAUCAGAAGUGCAAUCUCCCAUUUUAGGGGUGGCGCCACCGCCCCUGAGCUGGAGACUGGGAAAAAAAAAGAAAGGCUUCUCCAAGUUUCUUACUGGGAUAAGAUAACCUAACCACCAUAUUUUUUUAGAACAAUUUACGUGCCCAAUGGAUUUUUUGUGCCUUCACACAACUCAUUACCCCUAAAAAAAAUAAUGCCAGGUUUACAGCAAGAGAAUGGACCAACUAACAACUCUUCAUCGGGUUAUCAAAUGGACCCUCAGUUCACUGCUUUCCUUCCUCCUAACUCUAAAUAAUGCCAACAUUAAUAUAUAUAUAAGCUUAAGAAUAUGGCCUCUGAAGUUAAGAAUUCUGGGUUCUUUCUACGAAAUAGACAACGUAACUUUAUGUGACAAUUAACAAUAAUAAAAUUUAUAUAAUGAGAUUUAACAAGGUUCAAUAAUAUUAAUCACGACAACACCAAUCUCCGGGCCAACCUUCAACAUUCUUAUUUAUUGAGAAAUAUGCAAGGAUGGAACCAGCCAAUGACGCCUAGAUCAUAAAUAUAAUAUAUGUUUUUUAUUUUUUACCAAAUUUAAUAACACCGACAUCUUUCUACAGUAUAGUAAAAAAAAUAUAAAUAUUAAAAAUAAACCACAAUUCUCCAUUUUUUUAAAUAAAGAAAUGGAUAUUCUUUUAGAUUAAAAAGUAGUUUAAAAAUAAAUAAAUAAAUAAAUUGUAUUUAAAUUAAAAAUACAACUUAAUUUUUUUAUAAUUUUUUAUUAAUUUUCCAACACAUUUGACUCGUGACAUACGACUAAAAAGAACAAAAAAAAAUUCUAGACAAAAAAAUCCCUUAAUUCUCGGAAAUUAUAAAAGAACCCUAAUCCUACGCAUGGGCCAAACCAACAUCUCUGCAGCUCAUGAUAUUAUUCACACGAGAAAGACAAAGAAUGAAAGGGAUUUUUUUGUCAAUUCAAACCACUAAAAAACUAGUACCACCCUGUUAAUCUACGCUUGCAUGCAUCUAUAACAUUCUUUUAAGAAAAAAAAAAAGAAAUCCUCAUUACAGGUAGCUCUAACCUAAACGCGCGAAAAAAAUUCAAUUAUUCCCCCACAUGAUCAAUAGGUUAAAUUCUAAGUUCAAAAUUUAAAGUUUAAUUUUGUUUUUAAGAAUUUAGUUGUAAUAUUUUUCAUAUUUCAAAAUUACAAGCGAGUAGUUAGAGGCCCGAUCCCUUAAAAUAAAAUAUUUUCUUUUAGCUCCUUUAGAGUUUUUGAAAUUUUAAUUAGUAAAAAUAAAAUUAAAUUUUAGUCUCCUUAAAAUAAUAAAAAUUUAAUUUAAUCUUUUAAAAGUUAUAAAUAUAUAAACUAUUAAAAUAAUAAAAUUUAAUUUUUAUUAUCACAAAAAUUAUAAUUUAAUUUCAGCCAAGCCAACUAAUUACAAUGUUAUUUAUUUUAUUUUAUUUUAUUUUUUUUGAAUAAUUGACUGGGGUAUUAUAAUAAAAAGGAAACACAAGAAAAACAGCCCAUAACAUUACUGCACUAGGCUGUAAACAAAAACAUAGGCUGCAAAUUAAACAGCCCAUAAAGCCAACCGACUGAAAUGUUCAGAAUUUAAAAACCUAAUUCAAUAACAAUAAUAAAAGUAGAAGAAACAUAGAAAAACCAACCGUCAUUUCCCCAAUCACAUUAAAUUUAACAAAAAAAAUUAAUAAUAUUUUAACAAUUAUAUCUAACUUUUAAAAUCUAAAAAAUAGAGAUUAAAUUUUUAUAAAUAAAAAUCUAGCGACUAAAUUCAUAUUUGUGAAGAAUAUAAGAAGCUAUGGUAUAUUUUAACCUAAUUAAUAUUAAACUAAGCCACAUCUUAUGUAAAAAAAGUUAUAUAGAAACAAAUGAAGUUUUUUAUUAAAAUGGUUGCCUUAUAUAGGUUCUAUAUAAAAUUAGAAAAGAUAAAAAUUCCACUAAUAAUAUAUUAUUUUUAAUUAAAAAGAUUGUUUAAUAUUUUUCUUUAAUAUCCAGCUAUUUCAAAUUAAUAAAAAAAUCAAUCCCCAAAAUCAGAUCAGCUACGAUCCAUAUAUCUUCAAAAUCACCAAACCUAACUCUGCCGACACGUCAUCGCCUGAUUGGACCAACAAUAUUUAUAGGAAGAUGCUCUAUAUCUAACCCACGUAGAACCAAUCAAAAUCUUCUUGUUAUUUUUUUUCUCAUUAGAAAUAGUAAUUAAAAUAUUUUUUUAAAUUAAACUGAUAUUUUUUAAAAAUAUAUAGAAUAUUUUGUUUUACCUGGCUUUCGAGUCGGCGCUCGAAAAGGGAGCCGAGCUUAUGAGACUGGAAGAUCUCAAGGAACUCAACCAACGGCUGAGAUUCAACGGACACCUUCUUGAUGGAGGGAGAUUGGUCCAAUUCCCCAUUAUCCGGUUCUCCCGGUUCAGCAUUUUUCUUUUCCUUCCCGGACAAGCUAGCCGAGCUCUGUACAUCGCUGCUCUCUCUAUUAGGUUCUUCUCCCUUAGACUCGGCCACUGACUCCGGUGAAUCACCGGUUUCUCUCGGGUCAACUCGCUUCGAGUUUUCAGCUGAUCCCUUCGCCACACUAUCACAGCUCCCGUUGCACGAAGCUUCUCCCUCAGGCUUCACGCUCUGCACCUCUUUCCCCGUUUCACCUCCAUCCGGUUCGACAGGUUCCGGUUCAUCUUUCGCCUCGUCAGGUCCGGUUCCCGGAUCUUCCUCCUUAGGAUCUGUAGAGUUCGACUCGUUUACCGAACGGUUCUCCCGCUCGGACUCUUCCCUGCUGUUAACGGGCCGUCGGGUAAUAUUCUCGGUUUCGUU
This 17870-nucleotide long non-coding RNA is filed under the name Gossypium raimondii (Peruvian cotton). RNAcentral's name for it is "long non-coding RNA (GRAI_LNC004880)". The record is from RNAcentral. Lineage: Eukaryota; Viridiplantae; Streptophyta; Magnoliopsida; Malvales; Malvaceae.